GGACUACAAGGGUAUCUAAUCCCGUUCGCUCCCCUGGCUUUCGCGUCUCAGCGUCAGCAGACGUCCAGGGCCUCGCUUUCGCCACGGGCGUUCCUUCCGAUCUCAACGCAUUUCACCGCUCCACCGGAAGUUCCAGGCCCCCCUACGUCCCUCCAGGGCGGUCGUAUCGGCGCCGGUUCCCCGGUUGAGCCGGGGGCUUUCAACGACCGACGUGCCGCCCCGCCUACACGCGCUUUAAGCCCAGUGAUUCCGAAUAACGUUCGCACGGUUCGUCUUACCGCGGCUGCUGGCAC
Molecule: ribosomal RNA, 293 nt
Filed under: uncultured Planctomycetota bacterium
Lineage: Bacteria; Pseudomonadati; Planctomycetota
Description: uncultured planctomycete partial 16S ribosomal RNA
Source: RNAcentral